RNAcentral lists this ribosomal RNA (440 nucleotides) under uncultured bacterium. Its description in RNAcentral is "bacterial SSU rRNA". It matches the Rfam family "Bacterial small subunit ribosomal RNA", at positions 338 to 795 of the family's 1533-position model. The record is from RNAcentral.
CCUACGGGGGGCAGCAGUGGGGAAUCUUAGACAAUGGGGGCAACCCUGAUCUAGCCAUGCCGCGUGAACGAUGAAGGCCUUAGGGUUGUAAAGUUCUUUCAGCUGGGAAGAUAAUGACGGUACCAGCAGAAGAAGCCCCGGCUAACUCCGUGCCAGCAGCCGCGGUAAUACGGAGGGGGCUAGCGUUGUUCGGAAUUACUGGGCGUAAAGCGCACGUAGGCGGACUAUUAAGUCAGGGGUGAAAUCCCGGGGCUCAACCCCGGAACUGCCUUUGAUACUGGUAGUCUUGAGUUCGAGAGAGGUGAGUGGAAUUCCGAGUGUAGAGGUGAAAUUCGUAGAUAUUCGGAGGAACACCAGUGGCGAAGGCGGCUCACUGGCUCGAUACUGACGCUGAGGUGCGAAAGCGUGGGGAGCAAACAGGAUUAGAUACCCCCGUAGUC